CGCGGCGUCGCCUGCCGCGCCUCCUUACCUCCAGCCUCUGCCAGCGCGGGUUGCCCCCCACCCUCCCGCGCUUGGCUAGGGGCCGCAGCCCCCCUGGGCUCCUAGUGCCCAGGGGGGCUCCGAUCCUCGCACGAUAGGUGCCACGUGCGCGCAAAGCUAUCUUCCUGGAGCAGCAGGCGACGACCGACACGGAGGCCAGGAGCAGGCGGUGGUGGCGAGAAUCGGGCGCAUGGCGUCCUCCAGGUCCUUCAGCACUUAAUCUUAAAUUAAGACGUGUCUAGGAUGACAAGUUAAUUUAAACUACCAUGGAAAGAGAAAAGAAAUGGGCGCCACUGACCAUGGAAAGCAGUACCUAUACUACUCAGGGUUGUAAUGACAUAAUACCAAGAAAUAAAAGACUCUGGAAAACUGACCUUUCACCUAUGGAAGAUAUGAACACCUUGAGGGUAGGGGUACAAGGCGAAGCUUUCACCAGCUCCCUAUGGGACCUGAGACUAGGAAUUAAUGAGUAUCUGAAUACAGAAUAUGUCUGUUUCAGAAAACAGGAAGAGAGGCCCAGAGCUCAGCAUCUAAGAGGGACUGCGGGAGCUAACAUAGAGGAGUGAGGCUAAGCUGGAGGGCUGGAGCUAAGAGAACAUUCUGGUACUCCAGGACCUCUGCCUGCAAACCUUAGACAUUCCCCAUCCCACCAGCAGAGCCCUGAUCCUUGACAUGGACAGAAGAUCCUAUGGUUAAGUGGAAGAAUUUGGACCCACCUGCUAAGGGAAUUUCAAUUUAGACCUGGAAGAUUCUAGAAGACAUAGUUUGGCUCCAGAUAGAGAAGAAAUGAAAGAGGGAAGCUGAAAGCAGCUCUCAGUACCAUCCCUAAGCUAGGCUCUGGAACCCCUUCUGGAAGCAAGGCCAGCACCAGAACCUCUCUGACAAGGUAUCAACAAAGGCCAAGGCCUACCCUGUAGCUAGAUGGCAUUCGUCACUGCUGUUCACUGCUGUUCCUGUUCAGACUUUCAGCCUCAGACUGGCAUGGAAAUUUGAAUGGCUGUGCCUGUCAAAUGUCUAGACAAGGUUGUUUGUUUUGACCCAAGUAGAUCCUUCUGGGUUUUGUGCAUUUUAAUUUUCAGUACUCACAAUAAUUUUAUGUAAGCUCUGAUUUGGUUUGCUCAGCUAGGUUGGAGAUCUCUUGAAAGCUGAUGAAACAUGUCUUUUGACCAUCAUUCCAUCCUCUUAAUUGUUGCUAUCUACUCUCAGUAUGAUCCCUUUGUAGAAACUGACCACCCUCCUUAACUUCCUAGCUUUGGUUUUGACUGUGGACCAAGAAGGGGGCAGCAAUGUCUUACACUUUUGUCUUCCCCAUUGGGAGGGGCACAUGUUGUGAACUCAACUUGUGUAUAUUGAAUGAAUGAAUGAAUGAAUGAAUAAAAAUGCCCAAAUUAAGGCAAACUCACCAGACCGGCAAGGACUCAUCCUCCUGAGAGGCGUAGCAGAUUCUUGAGCAGCUACUGCGUGCUGAGAGGUGCUACUAGAGAGGCAAAGAGGAAACAAGGCUAUUUUGAUUUAUAAGUUAACUAAAAAUUAGGAAUAACUUAUCAGUGAGGGAAAAUGGGUGCAUGUGUGCCACAGACUAGCCAGUAUUCCAUGCUCUUUGCCAAGUUGGACGUUACCCUCUCGUGCGAGAAACCUCAGACCUGCCAAUGGUCAAAAACUUGAAAAAGUAACUGUGACAACUGUUUUCAUUUGGAACUAUGAUGGAUAUACUCUUUUCCUAAAUCGGGCAUGUCAUUUUAUUCUAAAUUUCUAUUAAACACUUCCCAACACUAUUUCUUUCCUCCUUCCUAAAGAACCACCAUGACCCCUGACUCCCCAGUAAUUCCAGAUGUCACACAAGGCCCAUUGUGUGACCAUCUUUGUGGUGAGGUCUCUUUCUUGGCUAUUAGAACAGCAAUUGUUUCUUCCUCCCUGCACUGGCCCCUAAUUGGCUAUUCUACUAAGUCUCAAAGCAAUACAAAUUCUGCUCAAAUCAAUUAUCAACACAUUUCUAACUCCUGGCACUGGGAAAGAGAGGGAGCUUUUCCUGGUCUGGGAGGCUCACCCAUGAGAAGGAGCUGAGAGGGUCAGCCUGGGAAACCCCUUUGGCCCCUGUGGCUGUGCUUCAAACAAAAGCCCCCAACUUCAGAGAAUGGAAUCCUAUUGUAACCAUCCAGGACAGGAUUUUUAUUGUUUGUUUGUUUGUUUCACUUGAGCUUAUGAAUAAAGCACAGGUCACAAAGAAGCAGCUGAGGCAAUAUCCUCCACACCCAUGCUGCUCCAGAUUUGCAUCUGGCUGAGCUGCCUCUUCUGCCUCAUCCCCUCUUCCCUUCACCUUCCCUCAUUAUCUACCCUCUCUAAUGAACAUACUUGUUUUUCAAGGUGAAAGAGUAGAAAGAAAAGAAAGAACGAGAAAACAAUAAGAAUUUAGCGUAAAAUUCAAAGGAUGUCCUGUACUUCAGAGAUGUCCACUUAGUAUACAGUUUGCCUUUAACCUAAGGCUUUGGCUUUGUUUUGUUCUGGGUGAUUAUUUAAUAAAAAGAUUCAUGAAGAUUAGAUUUAUUUUUUAAAGGACAAAAAGGUCCAUUGUGUGUCAGAUUUCUUAAAACAAAACAAAACCACUAAGUGGGAUAAGGAUGUGAAAACACUUGGAAAAAUCAGAUUGUGGGACAAGGGAAGGGUAUUCCUAAUUUCAAAAUAAGACAAAAAUGAAACAAUCACUUUAUGAUCAGCAGAGAGGGCAAUGGCUAGAGCUGAGAGGACUCAGGUGGCCCCAUCCUGUUCUCCUCCAUGGCUCCUAGAACCCACAUGGCCUUGUGGGGUGGUGGGACAGGAAGGGCUGAUGCCCCACCACCUGUUGAGCUCCCC
Molecule: long non-coding RNA, 2889 nt
Organism: Marmota monax (woodchuck)
Lineage: Eukaryota; Metazoa; Chordata; Mammalia; Rodentia; Sciuridae
Exons: 4
Source: RefSeq, a predicted model, not a curated record